RNAcentral lists this long non-coding RNA (2431 nucleotides) under Piliocolobus tephrosceles (Ugandan red Colobus). RNAcentral's name for it is "lncRNA (ENSPTEG00000012237.1)". Lineage: Eukaryota; Metazoa; Chordata; Mammalia; Primates; Cercopithecidae. The record is from RNAcentral.
UAAAUUCUAAAAACUAGCUGGAAAAUAAAUUGUACCACAAAUUGUACACCAAACUGUACAAUUAAUUGAACAAUUAAUUAAAAAUAAAAACCACCAAAAGAUAAAAUAUAAGUAAAAAAUAAUAAAACAUACAUACAUAUAUAAUAAUAACUGCAUUAAAAAAAAAAGUACGCAAAAAAUGGCUUUAAUAAAUUUUAAAGAAAAGAUUCAAAUAUUACUAAAAUUAAAAGAAUCAUUAAUACCACAACUGGAUGGUAAUUUUAUACAAAAUUGGAAAAUGGAAGCAUUAAAUUAUCAAAACAUUAGUGAAAAUAUAAUGAUUGAACUAAAAAAUGUAGAUUUUAUAGAAGGGUUAGUUAGUGCUAUUUCUGCUCAGUUGUCUUAUUUACGCAUGAAUUUACAUAAUUAUGAACAUAUGUCAGAAGUGGAAAAAGAUAAAUUUAAAAGAUUAUAUGUUUUAGCUUCUUUAGGCUUUAUAGCUAAGCUAAAACUUAUAUUAUUUUUUUCUACUUAUAUAAAUUCACGUGAACAAAAAAACAGUAAGCAUUUUCCUAAUAUUAGUAAACAAUUGUUUAACAAUAAUGAUUUACCAAAUGAUCGUAUGCAAUGUUAUAACAACAUCAGCAGCAACAGCAAUAAUAACAAUAAUAACAAUAAUAAUGACAAUAAUAUUAAUAAUAAUAACAAUAAUAUUAAUAAUAUUAACAAUAAUAUUAAUAAUAAUAACAAUAAUAUUAAUAAUAAUAACAAUAAUAUUAAUAAUAUUAAUAAUAAUAAUGACAAGAAUAAUGACAAGAAUAAUGACAAGAAUAAUGACAAUAUGAAUUUUCAAAAAAACUUUUAUGAAAAUUUGAUGAAUAAUGAUUUUACUACUGAUAAUACAACUGAUAAUAACACUAAUAGUAACAAUAACAACAGUAGUAAUAAUAACAACAGUAGUAAUAACAAUAAUAACAAUAAUAAUAACAAUAAUAAUAACAAUAAUAAUAACAAUAAUAAUAACAAUAAUAAUAAUAAUAAUAAUAAUAACAAUAAUAAUAACAAUAAUAAUAACAAUAACAAUAAUAAUAAUAAUAAUAAUAAUAAUAAUUUAAAAAUAGAUCCAGUAUACAAUAACAUAGAUGAAAAAUCAUUUUCACAGUUUUCUAAUUAUGUUAAUAAUAAUUAUAAUAAGAACGAACUAUUGAAUAUAAUGACCAUGAAUGCUUUGAAUAAUUAUAACACACAGGUAUAUUAUAAUGAUAGUAAUAUAAAUAAUGAAGAAUAUACUAAUAAAAAUUUAAACAUGUAUAACAANNNNNNNNNNNNNNNNNNNNNNNNNNNNNNNNNNNNNNNNNNNNNNNNNNNNNNNNNNNNNNNNNNNNNNNNNNNNNNNNNNNNNNNNNNNNNNNNNNNNAAUAAAAAUUUAAACAUGUAUAACAAUAAUUGUGAAAUGAUAACGAACGAUGUAAAUAGUAACAAAACCAACCCUGAUACUACCAACAUUAACAUGAACGACAUGUACAGCCAUAUUAACGAAAACGUGAAUAACCAAAUUAACGAAAAUAUGGACAGUCAUAUGAACGAAAACCUGAAUAACCAUAUAAACAAAAAUAUGGAUAAUUAUAUGAUUGAUGACAUAAAAAGAUUUAACAGUAAAGAUAUUAAUAACAAUAAUAUUAAUACUAAUAAUAAUAACAAUAAUAAUAUUAAUAAUAAUAAUAAUAACAAUAAUAAUAUUAAUAAUAUUAAUAAUGUUAAUAAUAAUAAUAACAAUAAUAUUAAUAAUAAUAGUAAUAAUAAUGUUAAUAAUAAUAGUAAUCAUAAUACUAAUACACAAUUUGUAGGUAAUAUAAAUGAUAAUAAUGAAAAUAUAAUAAGUAAUUUCGCUACAGAAGAAGUUGGUAAUAUAGUACAACCAGUAGUGGUGAACACUGAAAUAGCCGAAAAAACAUCUAUAGAAUUACUAAAUCAUGACCCUAAUAAAAUAAUUAAUUUUUUAAACAACACAAACAGUAAUACGUCAGAUAACAACAUGAAAAAUAAACAAAAUGAUAAUAUAACAAUUCCUACAAAUUUUAAUGAUAAUUUAAAUAUGGAUGUACAUAAUAGUUUUAUACAACCAAACCAUGAACAGUUUUCAAAAUAUUUAACUAAUGUACAUACAAACAUUCACCAAACAAAUACUACUACCAACAACAAUAAACAGAAUUUAAACGAUUUUAAUUACAAUCAAAAUAAUUAUUACCAUGCAUUUGCUACUAAUUAUCAGCAUAAUCAGCUGGAAGAAACAAAUUUCAUUCACUCGUAUAAUAAUGACUCAUAUGGGAUAAUGAACGAUGUAUAUAGAAACAGUUAUUACUUAUAAUAAGAACAAAAAUGAGCUAAUAAUUCGAUUUUGCUUUAUAAAAAAAAAAAAAAUAAAAAUAAAAAAAAUAUAUCGAUUUAUGCA